RNAcentral lists this ribosomal RNA (425 nucleotides) under uncultured bacterium. RNAcentral describes it as "bacterial SSU rRNA". It matches the Rfam family "Bacterial small subunit ribosomal RNA", at positions 917 to 1341 of the family's 1533-position model. The record is from RNAcentral.
GGGCCCGCACAAGCGGUGGAGCAUGUGGUUUAAUUCGAUGCAACGCGAAAAACCUUACCUACCCUUGACAUCCUUGGAAGCUUCUAGAGAUAGAAGUGUGUCUUCGGAAACCAAGUGACAGGUGCUGCAUGGCUGUCGUCAGCUCGUGUCGUGAGAUGUUAGGUUAAGUCCUGUAACGAGCGCAACCCCUAUCCUUAGUUGCCAGCACGUAAUGGUGGGAACUCUAAGGAAACUGCCGGUGACAAACCGGAGGAAGGUGGGGACGAGGUCAAGUCAUCAUGGCCCUUACGGGUAGGGCUACACACGUGCUACAAUGGACAGUACAAUGGGAAGCAAGACCGCGAGGUGGAGCAAAUCUCAUAAAGCUGUUCUCAGUCCGGAUUGGAGUCUGCAACUCGACUGCAUGAAGCUGGAAUCGCUAGUAA